Molecule: ribosomal RNA, 468 nt
Filed under: uncultured bacterium
Lineage: Bacteria
Description: partial 16S ribosomal RNA
Rfam family: Bacterial small subunit ribosomal RNA
Source: RNAcentral
GACGAACGCUGGCGGCGUGCUUAACACAUGCAAGUCGAACGGAAAGGCCCUGCUUUUGUGGGGUGCUCGAGUGGCGAACGGGUGAGUAACACGUGAGUAACCUGCCCUUGACUUUGGGAUAACUUCAGGAAACUGGGGCUAAUACCGGAUAGGAGCUCCUGCUGCAUGGUGGGGGGGGGAAAGUUUCGGCGGGUGGGGAUGGACUCGCGGCUUAUCAGCUUGUUGGUGGGGUAGUGGCUUACCAAGGCUUUGCCGGGUAGCCGGCCUGAGAGGGUGACCGGCCACAUUGGGACUGAGAUACGGCCCAGACUCCUACGGGAGGCAGCAGUGGGGAAUAUUGCACAAUGGGCGGAAGCCUGAUGCAGCAACGCCGCGUGCGGGAUGACGGCCUUCGGGUUGUAAACCGCUUUCGCCUGUGACGAAGCGUGAGUGACGGUAAUGGGUAAAGAAGCACCGGCUAACUACGUG